UGAGGGAAUAUUGGGUCAAUGGGGCGGAAGCCUGAACCAGCCAAGUAGCGUGAGGGAUGACUGCCCUAUGGGUUGUAAACCUCUUUUAUAAGGGAAUAAAUACGGGACGUGUCCUGUUUUGCAUGUACCUUAUGAAUAAGGACCGGCUAAUUCCGUGCCAGCAGCCGCGGUAAUACGGAAGGUCCGGGCGUUAUCCGGAUUUAUUGGGUUUAAAGGGAGCGUAGGCCGUCGUUUAAGCGUGUUGUGAAAUGCCGCGGCUCAACCGUGGCACUGCAGCGCGAACUGGAUGACUUGAGUUCGCGGGGGU
Molecule: ribosomal RNA, 307 nt
Filed under: uncultured Prevotella sp.
Lineage: Bacteria; Pseudomonadati; Bacteroidota; Bacteroidia; Bacteroidales; Prevotellaceae
Description: bacterial SSU rRNA
Rfam family: Bacterial small subunit ribosomal RNA
Source: RNAcentral